Phyllostomus discolor (pale spear-nosed bat) is the source of this 3292-nucleotide long non-coding RNA. RefSeq lists it as uncharacterized. The record is from RefSeq and is a predicted model, not a curated record. The transcript is spliced from 2 exons. NCBI's taxonomy places the organism in Eukaryota, Metazoa, Chordata, Mammalia, Chiroptera, Phyllostomidae.
AAAAAAUCUGGAAAAAUCCAAAUGUGCCAUCAUCAGUGGAAUAAAUAUACCUAUAUUACACUAUGUUUGUCAAGUAGACCAUCAUACAACAAUGAAAUGAAUGAUUUAAAGCUACAGAUAUAAACAUGGAUGAAUAUACAAAACAAAUUAAAGUUUUUGCAGUAUGACAUUUAUGUAAAGUUUUUAAACUUUAAAAACUUUGAAUGAAAGUAAAAUGAAUCAAUACAUUGUAUAGGGAUAGAAACAUGGUAAAAAACAGAAUGAGUAAAACAGGAUUUGGGAAAAUGGUUAACUCUGGUUAGAAAGGAGGAAAGGGGGUGCAAUCAGGCAAUCAUGGGAACCUUCAAAGGCACUUGUAAUGCCAUUUCUUUUUAACUUGGUGGUCAUUAGCUAGGUUUUCAUUUUUAUUAAUGAUGUUUAAAAUGUACAUAUGUUAUAGACACUCUUGUAUAUGCAUAUAUAGAAUAAAUGCAUCACUCUCUUUUUUUACAGUGGAGUGGUACAUGUCCCUGUGGUUCUUUCCUAGUUCUAUAACUAAAUGAGAAAAAUAAGUGCACUAAUAAGAGUUUGUCAUUAGGUUGAAUUCCUUCAGUGUAAAGAACUGUCCUUCAUUAUGAGAUUGUAAUGUUCUUGCUAUCUGAUGUUUAAUGUCCCUUUAUAAAUUAAUAGAGAUUGUGAAUUGUAGGUGUUUAAAAAUGUCUUAUCUAGAUGAAAACCCUGAUAGUAGUGCCACAAUUUGAGGGGAAAUCUUUAGUGGUCCACAGCAUUUAAAUCUAGGAACUGUAGGUUUGUGUCAUUUACCUGUGUGAGGAGAUUGUGGAUAUAUGGUAAAGAUAAGGAAAUUUUUGUCAUUAAAUGGAGUAAUAGAACAUGAAGUUAGUUGGAUAUGUGGAUACAACUGUGGAACCAAAAUGGCUUCGUCAGGACCUUGUUGGCCUCAUCAUUACAAAAUGUCUAGAGGAAGUAGCCUGUAACUUAAUUUAUGUCCAACUUCAAAGCCCCCCUAGGUUGGGUGGAUUCUCUUGUGGGUAAGUAAAAAGAUGUGAGCAUUAGCACCAAUAUUUGAUUAACAGCUGGAAGAGGGAAUGGAGAGGAUCAGUAUUCAUGCUUGUCAUGCUAAAAUGACAAUAUUGUCUUAUAACUCAGAUCUUAUGCUUAGAGAAAAGGACUAGAAGUUGCAUUACUUUUGUGAACACUUAGAUUCAAAUGGGUAUACUAGAGAAUGCAAUUUUCUUUAUGUGUUAUGUUUUCAGAACUUAGUUAUAUGGAAGGGAAGAGCAGUAGCAUUUUUUUUUACUCAAUAUUUGCACAGAGUUCUAGUGGAAGAAUCCUUGAAACAUAGUUGUUUUUUAAGUUUUGAGUUGAGCCUUUGAUUUACAAACUAUAUUUAUAUGUAAAGGAUGUCCAGUUAGUGAACUAUCCUAUAGGUACCCCUUUCUUCUUCACUAUCAUUAAACUGUACCUCAUUUUCCCACUUCCUACCACAGACCCUAUUGUUGCCUGGGACCUUCGUUUUUAUCCCUGCUCUUUGAGUCUCACCUUACCACAAAACUGCUUGAUGCUGCAUCUGUGUUGAUAGGCUUAGGAAAAGGAAAGUGAGGAGGAGUAGGGAGGUAAACAAAUACCCCCAUUCCUAGAUUCUAACCUUGGCUCUAUUCUAGUUUAUUCUGUGACCAUAAGCAUAUGUCUCUCAGAGCCUGAUUACCUUAUUUAUAAAAUCACUGUACUACUCAUUUUAUAUAUUGUAUUGUUGGUAUUUAAAUCUAUUGAGAAUAUAUGUGAAAACACUAAUUACUGUAUAAUGAUGAGGUAAUAUUGUGAUUGCAUUCUUGGGUACUGUUAGUUUAGUACAUUUUUAGUUACACAGACUUUUGUGGACAGUCUUACAAACCUAAGUAUGUCAUUAAACAUUUACUUUGUAGAAAUAGUCUCUGAGUUUAAAUCAGCUUUUAAUGAACAUGCAUUCACACAUAUAUUGAAAGCUCAAUGAUAAGAGUAGCAACUAGGGACUAUUAUGUUCAUAAGUAUCUUGUGCUUAAUAUGGUUGCUAACACAUAGUAGGUGCUCACUAAAUUUUUGUUGAAUGAUCAUAUAAUACGCAUAAAUUAUUAUAAAGAACUUGCCAUCCAACAGAAAGUACUAUGUUAUACUUGUUGCAGUGAAUGGGAAUCUAUAGACAAGAAUGCUUUUCACUUAUCUUGGGCCAUCCUUUCAAUUUUAUAUGUGCAUUUGCAUGUGCUUUUAUGUUGAGAACAUAGUUAAUGUUGAGAACCUAGUUAAUGUUUAAAAAUCUACAGAGUUAUUUUCUGAGGAAAUGUAGGACAAUAAGAUUGCUUUAUGUAAUUUUUAAGUCAUGUAAUCAGCAACAAGAAAUUACUAAUUACAGCUAAGAAACUACUUUGCCAUAUUGGAGGAUGGAAGUUGACAAAGAGCUGUAUUGUUGAGCUUUGUUCUGUUUUAAAGGAAAGGUCAUUAUCUCCUAUCUCAAUUUAUAUGUUCUUUGGAAGGUUAUUAACAGACUUGUUUGCUAAGCCUGUGCUACUUCAGUGUGUGAACUAUAUUUUUAUUUGAAUUGCUUGCACUGUAACAGAACUUAUUGCUGAAUUUGUGUAGUGACAUCUUCAUAUAUUUAGUCCAUUCGAUAGGGUAGUGAUUCUCUUCAGGUUUGGACUUUCUUAAAUUCUUGUUGAUUGCUUUUGUUUUCAGUAUUUUAAUCUUUUUUCAACCCUUCUCGUUGCUUUAAGGACUUUAAAAUUUUUUAAAGCCUUGUUUUAUCAUCUUGGAAUUUGAGAUAAAGUAUAUAGUUCUUAUACUUUCAUCCUAAUUUAAACCAGUGUAUUUUAUCAUGACGAUUCAUGUGGAACUCUAUAGAAUUUAAGUGGAUUUUCCGACUACGAAAUUAGAUUAUUUCAAAACAUCAGCACUGUUUGUCAUUCGUCAUUUUGUAAAGAGAUGGUCUGGAAUUUGUUCAGAGAACUAUCAGAGUUAGUAUUACAGUGAAAUGCCUUCUUCAGUCCUAAUCUUUGGCUCUAUAGGAAGAGAAAUUAAAGCUGGGCAUUUUCUUUGGACAGGAACAUCUAGAAAAUCUUUCUGUUGUGGCCUUUUGUGGCUUUUGCCUCUGUUUGGGUGUCUGCCACUUGAAUAUUGAAAGAGCCACUAGACCAGAGAUAAUGUAUGUAGUUGUUCUCUUUAGUGGCAAGCUGUUAAUAAAGUUUUGCAAUUAGUUAUUUUUAAUGUUAAGGAGUAGCAAAAAAAAUAUUGUUUAUGUCAUGUUUUCCAGUUUUGGCCAUGA